UAUAACAAAAAUCCAUUUUGGACAGGAUUUACGUAAAAUUCGUUUUCAGUGCUCGUCUACAUCGUGGAAUGAGUAGUUAUACAAAAUUUCCAGUCGGAUGUAUAGUUUCGGAGAUCUCAUGAUGAGUGAGCAAUAUUUCGCUUAUAGAUAGACUACAUAAUUUCUUUGAAAUGGAUUAAACUUAAUGGCAAAAUCUGAUCGUGUGCUCUUGAAGUGUGCUUUGUAUAACAAGUUUCUUCGAGUACUUUGGAAGUAACACUCUUGAACCAAGAACCCAAUGAUUCAGUGCUAAUGAUUUGUUUCAAAUGCAAACGGAAAAGUUCCAGGAGUGUCUUCAUGUAU
Molecule: long non-coding RNA, 342 nt
Organism: Stegodyphus dumicola
Lineage: Eukaryota; Metazoa; Arthropoda; Arachnida; Araneae; Eresidae
Source: RefSeq, a predicted model, not a curated record